Molecule: non-coding RNA, 2530 nt
Organism: Prunus avium (sweet cherry)
Lineage: Eukaryota; Viridiplantae; Streptophyta; Magnoliopsida; Rosales; Rosaceae
Source: RefSeq, a predicted model, not a curated record
UCCUUCCCGCCCUUUCUCCCAUCUCAUUUCUUCUCACUGUGAGUUUGCUUUGAGAAAUGGCGCGAGAAAUUCCGGCAGAGAAAGCCCUAGGUCUGCUCCGAAGCAGACUAUGUGACCCUAAUUUCGCCUUCAAAGCUCUCUCUCACUCCGACGAUUCAAACUACAGCAAGUUGAAAUUCUUAGUCUCAAGUUCCAUUACCGAAGCAUGUAACAACUCCAUUCUGCUUCUCGGUCCCCGUGGUUCUGGAAAAAUCGCCGUGUUGGAGCUUGUGCUCAGUGAUUUAUUACAGGAAUAUCCUGAUAUGAUUUCAGUGAUUAGGUUGAGUGGCCUGUUGCAUAGCAGUGACAACUGCGCAUUUAAGGAAAUUGCUAGACAGCUAUGCAUGGAGCAUCAGUUGGUUUUCUCCAGAAUGGCAUCAUUUGAUGAUAACUCCCAGUUUAUGAUAGCCAUGUUAAGGGAGUGUGGAUUAGCACAUAAAACAAUUAUUUUUAUUUUGGAUGAGUUUGACCUGUUUGCUCUGGGAAAACAGAAGUUACUUUAUAGUUUGCUUGAUGCAAUGCAGUCAGUAACAUCUCAAGCUGUCGUCAUUGGUGUGAGCUGCCGACUGGAUGCUGACAUGCUUUUGGACAAAAGAGUAAGAUCUCGUUUUUCACAUAGAAAGCUUUUGUUUCUUCCUCCUGCUAACGAAGACAUACAGCGAUUGUUGGAGCACAUUUUAUCAUUGCCAACAGACUCAAGCUUUCCUCCAGACUAUGCUGUUGCUUUCAACACAAAACUUCAAAAUAUAUUGGCAGAUGAAAGAUUUAAAGAGAUUAUUAGUACAUAUCUGAAUUUUGAUUCAACUGUCAAACAUUUGUUGAGAUAUCUAUUCCGUGCAGUUUCUUAUAUGGAUUUGGAGUCUGGAAUGUUGUCACUAGAAAACUUUAAAGCUGCACUUUCAAAUAUCCAGAGGCAUCCAAAGUUGGAAUGCAUAAAAGAUUGCUCCAUAUUGGAACUUUACAUUCUGGUAUGCAUGAAGAGGUUGGAAAUUAAAGAGCAGAACUCGUACAAUUUCAAUUCUGUAAUGAAAGAGUACAAAAGCAUACAUGAUUCGGUCAAGACAUCUGACUAUUUUGCAAGAAAUGUUUGCUUACGGGCAUUUGAACACCUUCUACAACGUGAACUGAUUGGCUUUACAGACAAUAGAGGACAAAACCACUCUGUUGAGUUUACUCCUGUGAAGCUUUUAGUCUCAUUCCACGAACUGCACCAGGGCCUGAAAUCAUAUGGUUCCUGUCCCGCCAUUCUUCAACAAUUAAUGGAUCGUCAAAAAUAGUGGCUGAAGAGACGGGAUUGAUGGCUGGUUAGCUGCUUCGUGUGAUUUCUAGAAUUUGUUUCAUUAGUGAUUCAUUAUUGUUAUCAAUUUUUAAUGAUGUAAAAACAAAUUUUUACACUUUUCUGGCCGAUAAAUAAAUUAAUACAGUCCACACAUGUCUCACAAAAAUCCACCAUGUUUUGGUGGGUAUAGAUUUAAGGGGUUUGGGUUUGGGUUUGGGUUUGCGUUUGAGUUUGAGUUUGGGCUUGGGUCUGGAAUAUAGAGAGGCAACAGAAACGGCUGCUUCCACUCUCUGUCUCUCAAAACCCAAAACCUAAAACCCACAACCCACAACCCAUCUCUGAGCUUCCACUAUUUACCAAACCCCUCUCCACUCAAAUGCAAUGGCACUCUGCGCCACAGCUUCAAAAGCUUUAGCUGCCAUCCUCUUGCUCUCUCAAGGUACGCCUUCUUUUUCCCCUCUCUGGUUCUUUCCACAACUUCCCUUCAACUACUUCACUAGCCACCAAAACUCUCUCUGAAAUCCAUUCCUUAUUUUUUACACCAUUGAAGAAAAAUCCUGAGCUUUUUGUAACAUCAAGCACUCCUCUGAUCAUUUCCAAGCUGUUAUUUAUUGACCCUGGGUUGUUUGUACGAGUCCUUGUUGAGAUUAGGACCAGACCCAGAAUUGCUUUAAGGUUUUUCCCAUGGGUAAGGAAGGGGAAGUGCAACAAGCACCAUUUUCAUUACCUUUCACUUCCAGGGAGAAAAUGAUUACAGGAUUUGAUGCAGACCCAACAGCUGUCUGUGUCAGUCUGUGCUGGUACAACAUUUACUCCGGUUUGUUGGUCUGCAUCUCCUUGGCUUGCGCAUGUGCGUGCCCGGUUCUUUUCCACUUGCUUUUGCCAUCCUUGAUUUUGAAAAUGGAGCCAAUUAGACAUGAUUUCUGCAAACUCUUUCCCAGCCAUGAAGAUCCUUCAAACAACAGUUUCACAGAAACAUUGCCCGUAUAAGUAAAAUGGUGACUACCUUCACCACAUGCAUCCUUCCCCACCCUUUACCUAUAUAUCAGGUAUACAUCGCACCUUGUACGAUAACAGAAACCAAUUGAAAAUAACAACCAUAACUACAAACAAUAAAAAUACCUGGAAGACAGGUUCUGCAACUGGUGUUAAAUUGUGAACUAUUGAACUAUCAUAAUAUUUGUAAUAUUCAACCCUAAUUUGAAACCCCAA